CAUGCUAGCAGAGUUCAGACCGGAGCCGAUAUUAGCGUGGCUUUUCAACGAUGCUGACAACUGAGGGACCCCAAGGGACUGAAAAGUGACACCAUGCUUUAUUUCUGCCAACAGAUUGGACAUAAGGCAUUUUUGUGUAUGGCCAGGAGGACACAGCAUAUGAGGCACAAGUCAGGAAUAAUGAGAAAGGUAACAGCACAGGAGAUUGGACAUUUUUGUGCAUUGCCAGGAGGACACAGCAUAAGAGGUACAAGUCAGGAAAAAUUAUAAAG
This is a long non-coding RNA of Micropterus dolomieu (smallmouth bass), 272 nucleotides long. RefSeq lists it as uncharacterized. The record is from RefSeq and is a predicted model, not a curated record. The transcript is spliced from 3 exons. NCBI's taxonomy places the organism in Eukaryota, Metazoa, Chordata, Actinopteri, Centrarchiformes, Centrarchidae.